Molecule: long non-coding RNA, 336 nt
Organism: Sinocyclocheilus rhinocerous
Lineage: Eukaryota; Metazoa; Chordata; Actinopteri; Cypriniformes; Cyprinidae
Exons: 3
Source: RefSeq, a predicted model, not a curated record
CAGGGGAAAUAUCUGGCUUAUCUACAAAUCAAUGACACUGGAGUUCACAACAUCGAAUACUCGUUGUAUGGAAAUGACCAGUAUCCCACCACAGUAUUUAUCCCCUACCCAAAAGCAGGCUGUGUUAUUCCCAGAGCAAGGCUGUUUGUGAUUGAUGUGGAAAAUCCGUCCAGACAAUCAGAAGUGGUGGUACCGAAAUCCGUCGGCAUAGGCGAUCACUAUCUGAGAACAGUCACCUGGGUCACAGAUGAACGACUGGCUGUUCAAUGGCUUCCACGCCGACAGGACAGCGUCCUUCUGCAGAUCUAUGACUAUGACGGCACCAACUGGAAAGAA